This 251-nucleotide ribosomal RNA is filed under the name uncultured bacterium. Its description in RNAcentral is "partial 16S ribosomal RNA". It matches the Rfam family "Bacterial small subunit ribosomal RNA", at positions 527 to 779 of the family's 1533-position model. The record is from RNAcentral.
CAGAGGUGCAAGCGUUAAUCGGAAUUACUGGGCGUAAGCGCGCGUAGGUGGUUGUUAAGUUGGAUGUGAAAUCCCCGGGCGUCAACCUGGGAACGUGCAUUCAAACUAGACUGACUAGAGUAUGGUAGAGGUGGUGGAAUUUCCUGUGUAGCGGUGAAAUGCGUAGAUAUAGGAAGGAACACCAGUGGCGAAGGCGACCACCUGGACUAAUACUGACACUGAGGUGCGAAAGCGUGGGAGCAAACAGGAUU